Molecule: ribosomal RNA, 126 nt
Filed under: Pyricularia grisea
Lineage: Eukaryota; Fungi; Ascomycota; Sordariomycetes; Magnaporthales; Pyriculariaceae
Description: partial small subunit ribosomal RNA
Rfam family: Eukaryotic small subunit ribosomal RNA
Source: RNAcentral
CCUUUGUACACACCGCCCGUCGCUACUACCGAUUGAACGGCUCAGUGAGGCCUUCGGACUGGCCGAGAGAGGUGGGCAACCACCACUCAUGUGCCGGAAAGUUGUACGAACUCGGUCGUUUAGAGG